This 73-nucleotide transfer RNA is filed under the name Methanobacteriota archaeon. RNAcentral describes it as "Euryarchaeota archaeon tRNA-Val". It matches the Rfam family "tRNA". Rfam says of the family: Transfer RNA (tRNA) molecules are approximately 80 nucleotides in length. Their secondary structure includes four short double-helical elements and three loops (D, anti-codon, and T loops). Lineage: Archaea; Methanobacteriati; Methanobacteriota. The record is from RNAcentral.
GGGCCUGUAGUCGAGCGGUUAAGACGUCCGCCUCACACGCGGAAGAUCCCAGGUUCGAAUCCUGGCAGGCCCA